This 940-nucleotide ribosomal RNA is filed under the name uncultured marine group I thaumarchaeote. RNAcentral's name for it is "bacterial SSU rRNA". It matches the Rfam family "Archaeal small subunit ribosomal RNA", at positions 459 to 1399 of the family's 1478-position model. Lineage: Archaea; Thermoproteati; Nitrososphaerota. The record is from RNAcentral.
CAGCCGCCGCGGUAAAACCAGCACUUCAAGUGGUCAGGAGGAUUAUUGGGCCUAAAGCAUCCGUAGCCGGCUCUGUAAGUUUCCGGUUAAAUCCAUGUGCUCAACGCAUGGGCUGCCGAAAAUACUGCACAGCUAGGGAGUGGGAGAGGUAGACGGUACUCGGUAGGAAGGGGUAAAAUCCUNUGAUCUAUCGAUGACCACCUGUGGCGAAGGCGGUCUACCAGAACACGUUCGACGGUGAGGGAUGAAAGCUGGGGGAGCAAACCGGAUUAGAUACCCGGGUAGUCCCAGCUGUAAACGAUGCAGACUCGAUGAUGCAUUGGCAUAUAGCCAGUGCAGUGUCGCAGGGAAGCCGUUAAGUCUGCCGCCUGGGAAGUACGUACGCAAGUAUGAAACUUAAAGGAAUUGGCGGGGGAGCACCACAAGGGGUGAAGCCUGCGGUUCAAUUGGAGUCAACGCCAGAAAUCUUACCCGGAGAGACAGCAGAAUGAAGGUCAAGCUGAAGACUUUACCAGACAAGCUGAGAGGUGGUGCAUGGCCGUCGCCAGCUCGUGCCGUGAGAUGUCCUGUUAAGUCAGGUAACGAGCGAGAUCCUCGCCACUAGUUGCUAUCAUUAUUCUCAGGAAUAGUGGGGCGAAUUAGUGGGACUGCCGUUGUUAAAACGGAGGAAGGAGGGGGCUACGGCAGGUCAGUAUGCCCCGAAACUCUGGGGCCACACGCGGGCUGCAAUGGUAGCGACAAUGAGCUCCAAACUCGAAAGAGAGUGGCAAUCUCUAAACGCUACCACAGUUAUGACUGAGGGCUGUAACUCGCCCUCACGAAUAUGGAAUCCCUAGUAACCGCGUGUCAUUACCGCGCGGUGAAUACGUCCCUGCUCCUUGCACACACCGCCCGUCGUUUCAUCGAAGUUUGCUUUUAGCGAGGUGAUGUUUAAUGACCA